AAAUUGAAGAGUUUGAUCAUGGCUCAGAUUGAACGCUGGCGGCAGGCCUAACACAUGCAAGUCGAACGGUAACAGGAAGCAGCUUGGCUGCUUUGCUGACGAGUGGCGGACGGGUGAGUAAUGUCUGGGAAACUGCCUGAUGGAGGGGGAUAACUACUGGAAACGGUGGCUAAUACCGCAUAACGUCGCAAGACCAAAGAGGGGGACCUUCGGGCCUCUUGCCAUCAGAUGUGCCCAGAUGGGAUUAGCUUGUUGGUGAGGUAACGGCUCACCAAGGCGACGAUCCCUAGCUGGUCUGAGAGGAUGACCAGCCACACUGGAACUGAGACACGGUCCAGACUCCUACGGGAGGCAGCAGUGGGGAAUAUUGCACAAUGGGCGCAAGCCUGAUGCAGCCAUGCCGCGUGUAUGAAGAAGGCCUUCGGGUUGUAAAGUACUUUCAGCGGGGAGGAAGGUGUUGUGGUUAAUAACCGCAGCAAUUGACGUUACCCGCAGAAGAAGCACCGGCUAACUCCGUGCCAGCAGCCGCGGUAAUACGGAGGGUGCAAGCGUUAAUCGGAAUUACUGGGCGUAAAGCGCACGCAGGCGGUCUGUCAAGUCGGAUGUGAAAUCCCCGGGCUCAACCUGGGAACUGCAUUCGAAACUGGCAGGCUUGAGUCUUGUAGAGGGGGGUAGAAUUCCAGGUGUAGCGGUGAAAUGCGUAGAGAUCUGGAGGAAUACCGGUGGCGAAGGCGGCCCCCUGGACAAAGACUGACGCUCAGGUGCGAAAGCGUGGGGAGCAAACAGGAUUAGAUACCCUGGUAGUCCACGCCGUAAACGAUGUCUACUUGGAGGUUGUGCCCUUGAGGCGUGGCUUCCGGAGCUAACGCGUUAAGUAGACCGCCUGGGGAGUACGGCCGCAAGGUUAAAACUCAAAUGAAUUGACGGGGGCCCGCACAAGCGGUGGAGCAUGUGGUUUAAUUCGAUGCAACGCGAAGAACCUUACCUGGUCUUGACAUCCACAGAACUUUCCAGAGAUGGAUUGGUGCCUUCGGGAACUGUGAGACAGGUGCUGCAUGGCUGUCGUCAGCUCGUGUUGUGAAAUGUUGGGUUAAGUCCCGCAACGAGCGCAACCCUUAUCCUUUGUUGCCAGCGGUCCGGCCGGGAACUCAAAGGAGACUGCCAGUGAUAAACUGGAGGAAGGUGGGGAUGACGUCAAGUCAUCAUGGCCCUUACGACCAGGGCUACACACGUGCUACAAUGGCGCAUACAAAGAGAAGCGACCUCGCGAGAGCAAGCGGACCUCAUAAAGUGCGUCGUAGUCCGGAUUGGAGUCUGCAACUCGACUCCAUGAAGUCGGAAUCGCUAGUAAUCGUGGAUCAGAAUGCCACGGUGAAUACGUUCCCGGGCCUUGUACACACCGCCCGUCACACCAUGGGAGUGGGUUGCAAAAGAAGUAGGUAGCUUAACCUUCGGGAGGGCGCUUACCACUUUGUGAUUCAUGACUGGGGUGAAGUCGUAACAAGGUAACCGUAGGGGAACCUGCGGUUGGAUCACCUCCUUACCUUAAAGAAGC
This 1555-nucleotide ribosomal RNA is filed under the name Salmonella enterica subsp. enterica serovar Typhi str. CT18. RNAcentral describes it as "bacterial SSU rRNA". It matches the Rfam family "Bacterial small subunit ribosomal RNA". Lineage: Bacteria; Pseudomonadati; Pseudomonadota; Gammaproteobacteria; Enterobacterales; Enterobacteriaceae. The record is from RNAcentral. RNAcentral also lists the same sequence under 1 other name.